UAAUACAUGCAAGUCGAGCGGACAGAUGGGAGCUUGCUCCCUGAUGUUAGCGGCGGACGGGUGAGUAACACGUGGGUAACCUGCCUGUAAGACUGGGAUAACUCCGGGAAACCGGGGCUAAUACCGGAUGGUUGUUUGAACCGCAUGGUUCAAACAUAAAAGGUGGCUUCGGCUACCACUUACAGAUGGACCCGCGGCGCAUUAGCUAGUUGGUGAGGUAACGGCUCACCAAGGCAACGAUGCGUAGCCGACCUGAGAGGGUGAUCGGCCACACUGGGACUGAGACACGGCCCAGACUCCUACGGGAGGCAGCAGUAGGGAAUCUUCCGCAAUGGACGAAAGUCUGACGGAGCAACGCCGCGUGAGUGAUGAAGGUUUUCGGAUCGUAAAGCUCUGUUGUUAGGGAAGAACAAGUACCGUUCGAAUAGGGCGGUACCUUGACGGUACCUAACCAGAAAGCCACGGCUAACUACGUGCCAGCAGCCGCGGUAAUACGUAGGUGGCAAGCGUUGUCCGGAAUUAUUGGGCGUAAAGGGCUCGCAGGCGGUUUCUUAAGUCUGAUGUGAAAGCCCCCGGCUCAACCGGGGAGGGUCAUUGGAAACUGGGGAACUUGAGUGCAGAAGAGGAGAGUGGAAUUCCACGUGUAGCGGUGAAAUGCGUAGAGAUGUGGAGGAACACCAGUGGCGAAGGCGACUCUCUGGUCUGUAACUGACGCUGAGGAGCGAAAGCGUGGGGAGCGAACAGGAUUAGAUACCCUGGUAGUCCACGCCGUA
This 773-nucleotide ribosomal RNA is filed under the name Bacillus sp. LKS-47. RNAcentral describes it as "bacterial SSU rRNA". It matches the Rfam family "Bacterial small subunit ribosomal RNA", at positions 49 to 804 of the family's 1533-position model. Lineage: Bacteria; Bacillati; Bacillota; Bacilli; Caryophanales; Bacillaceae. The record is from RNAcentral.